AAGGAUUAUGGAAGAAGACGGCAAAACGGCGUAUGAGGAAUACAAACUUCGUCGUCAUUGGGAGGAAAAGUAUCAUAAACUGAAGACUACUCUAAGGGAUAAGUUUUGUGACAUUCGUCGAGGUCUUAUGCAGAUAUAUGAUUUAUCAACUAUUACCGAUUGCAUUAGCGACACUGAAAAUGAGGUUGGGCAAGCAGCAGGACCUGAACAGCAUUAAAAUAGACUCUAGUUACAUACAUCCUAUUGAACAAGACAAUACUAAGGUGAGCCCCAUUGACCAUAAACCUAUCGAGAGAUGAAGCUGCACCUAGUUAAAAGUUAGUUCUGAUGGCUGUGUAAUAAAGUUGGAAGUAUUUCUUGCCCAUUAACAUGCAAUGCAUAGGCAUAUAUGGACACAUGUUACUAUUUAUGUUACAAAAGCAAUAUAUG
Molecule: long non-coding RNA, 429 nt
Filed under: Coffea arabica (coffee)
Lineage: Eukaryota; Viridiplantae; Streptophyta; Magnoliopsida; Gentianales; Rubiaceae
Description: long non-coding RNA (CARA_LNC003361)
Source: RNAcentral